This 255-nucleotide small RNA is filed under the name Pelobates cultripes (western spadefoot toad). Lineage: Eukaryota; Metazoa; Chordata; Amphibia; Anura; Pelobatidae. The record is from RNAcentral.
GAGUGAGGGGGUGAACAGUGACAGAGUGAGGGAAGGGGUGACUAGUGGCAGAGUGAGGGAGGUGGUGACUGUCCCUAGUCACCACCUCCCUCACUCUGUCACUAGUCACCACCUCCUUCUGUCACUAGCCACCCCCUCCGUCCCUUACCCUGUCACUAGUCACCCCUAACUCACUCUGUCACUAGUCGUUCCCCUCUCUCACUCUGUCACCAGUCAUUCACUCACUCUAUCACCAGUCACCCCUUCCUUCCCUCA